GCUAGAAAAGCUUCCAAUACGUCAAAGUACAAAGCCAUAAAAUAUGUGCCAAAAUGCACUGAUCACCUCUCCAAUAGUUUUUUCAUUCAACACUCUACUCCACCACAUGUAUAGUUAAGCCUUAAAUUUAUAUUUUUGUUUUUAUGAUUACAUAAAAUUACAAUUAUCGAUUAAAAUUAAAUUAAAAUAAUAAGCACUUAACAAUUGAAGCACUCCAAAUGCACGUUUGAUGUCCUUCCGAUAUCCCUCCUAGUAUUUUGCAAAUAACUUAUCGGGUUUACUUUAGGAAGUCUAAUCGAUUUGACGAAAGUUGGAUAAGAAGAGUAGAUACCGUCAGCUAGAUAGUAUGUCAUAUUAUAGAAACCUUGAUUCACCAAGAAAUUAACAGUGGGAGCAUUUCCUUGUUCCACGUCAUCAAACACUGAUGACGGGUCUAGAAAGUUUAUAUCGUUCAACUGCUUCAAAAAAUGCAUCCAAAAAAGGCAUGUCAGAUCCAUAAAUCAUGAGAUGCAAUUGCUUCAAGAAUAACUGUAGUGGUUCCCUAAAAAAAAGACUAAUACUUCAAGAUUAACACUAAUAUGAAGAUAAUAAUAAGAUUAUUAUAGUGAAAAAAUCCUUUUUUUUUUUCUGUGUCCAAAUCAAAUAAACAAAGUCUCUAUUUAUAGACAAAAAAAAAAUCAUGAAGUUUGGUAAAAAAAUAAAGAAUUAUUUUGCGAUGAAAUAAUUGAGUUCAAAGUAUUAAUAUGAUAAGAAUCCGUCCAGCCAAUCAGAUGUUAACAAGUGUCCCUAUCUUCUUGUCUCUCCGCGUGAAAUUUUCCCCACUCCCCCCCGCGCACAUCUCACGCGCCUGUUUUGGCAAAUUAAAUGAAGUCGUGUGUCUGCUUUAGUCAAGUUCAACUGUGUUGAAAGUUUUCAACUGUUCCCUCCUCCACAUCAUCUUCAACACCCUUCUUCCUAUCAUUCAACACAUUAAACCCCAUUCAACACCAAUUUGUUUUCCUAUUGCACAUGGUCUAAUGAGUUGUUUGCAUAACUUUCUUCUGCCACACCUCCAUUGAUGUGUAGUACCUGUCCUAAAUCCAUUAUUGUUUCUUAUAUCUUCUUUGAGAGUUGUUGUUUCUUGUAUCUUCUGUGAGAGUUGUUUUGUUUUUAUGCUUAUGCGUUUAAGUAUAGGCCAUGUAUACAUAUAUAUAGUCACGGACGGAGGC
Molecule: long non-coding RNA, 1208 nt
Filed under: Trifolium pratense (red clover)
Lineage: Eukaryota; Viridiplantae; Streptophyta; Magnoliopsida; Fabales; Fabaceae
Description: long non-coding RNA (TPRA_LNC004698)
Source: RNAcentral